This 253-nucleotide ribosomal RNA is filed under the name uncultured bacterium. RNAcentral describes it as "partial 16S ribosomal RNA". It matches the Rfam family "Bacterial small subunit ribosomal RNA", at positions 524 to 776 of the family's 1533-position model. The record is from RNAcentral.
UACGUAGGGUGCAAGCGUUGUCCGGAAUUAUUGGGCGUAAAGGGCUCGUAGGCGGUCCAUCGCGUCGGGAGUGAAAAGCUGGGGCUUAACCCCAGUCCUGCUUCCGAUACGGGUGGACUAGAGGUAGGUAGGGGAGAACGGAAUUCCUGGUGUAGCGGUGAAAUGCGCAGAUAUCAGGAGGAACACCGAUGGCGAAGGCAGGUCUCUGGGCUGAAACUGACGCUCAUGCACGAAAGCGUGGGGAGCAAACAGG